CCUUCGGGGGAACUGUGGUUAGGUGCUGCAUGGGCUGUCGGUCAGCUCGUGUCGUUGAGAUGUUGGGUUAAGUCCGCAACGAGCGCAACCCCUGUUGUUAGUUGCCAGCAUUAAGUUGGGCACUCUAACAAGACUGCCGACCUUUAAGUCGGAGGAAGGUGGGGAUACGUCAAGUCAUCAUGGCCCUUAUGUCCAGGGCUACAAACGUGCUACAAUGGUCGGUACAAAGGGUAGCGAACUCGCGAGAGGGAGCCAAUCUCAAAAAGCCGACCUCAGUACAGAUAGGAGUCUGCAACUCGACUCCUUGAAGUCGGAAUCGCUAGUAAUCGCUGAUCAGCAUGGCAGCGGUGAAUACGUUCCCGGGUCUUGUACACACC
RNAcentral lists this ribosomal RNA (377 nucleotides) under uncultured bacterium. Its description in RNAcentral is "bacterial SSU rRNA". It matches the Rfam family "Bacterial small subunit ribosomal RNA", at positions 1016 to 1391 of the family's 1533-position model. The record is from RNAcentral.